Molecule: ribosomal RNA, 434 nt
Filed under: uncultured Clostridium sp.
Lineage: Bacteria; Bacillati; Bacillota; Clostridia; Eubacteriales; Clostridiaceae
Description: partial 16S ribosomal RNA
Rfam family: Bacterial small subunit ribosomal RNA
Source: RNAcentral
ACGGAAGGCAGCAGUGGGGAAUAUUGCACAAUGGGGGAAACCCUGAUGCAGCAACGCCGCGUGAGUGAUGACGGUCUUCGGAUUGUAAAGCUCUGUCUUUAGGGACGAUAAUGACGGUACCUAAGGAGGAAGCCACGGCUAACUACGUGCCAGCAGCCGCGGUAAUACGUAGGUGGCAAGCGUUGUCCGGAUUUACUGGGCGUAAAGGGAGCGUAGGUGGAUAUUUAAGUGGGAUGUGAAAUACCCGGGCUUAACCUGGGUGCUGCAUUCCAAACUGGAUAUCUAGAGUGCAGGAGAGGAAAGGAGAAUUCCUAGUGUAGCGGUGAAAUGCGUAGAGAUUGGGAGGAACACCAGUGGCGAAGGCGACUAACUGGACUGUAACUGACGCUGAGGCGCGAAAGUGUGGGGAGCAAACAGGAUUAGAUACCCUGGUA